GGGGAUGUAGCUCAGUUGGUGGAGUACUUGCCUACCAUGCAUGAAGGUCUGGUUGCAAUCCCCAGCACCUCA
RNAcentral lists this transfer RNA (72 nucleotides) under Mesocricetus auratus (golden hamster). It matches the Rfam family "tRNA". Rfam says of the family: Transfer RNA (tRNA) molecules are approximately 80 nucleotides in length. The record is from Rfam by way of RNAcentral. Lineage: Eukaryota; Metazoa; Chordata; Mammalia; Rodentia; Cricetidae.